RNAcentral lists this transfer RNA (76 nucleotides) under Pseudomonadota bacterium. RNAcentral describes it as "Proteobacteria bacterium (groundwater metagenome) tRNA-Ala". It matches the Rfam family "tRNA". From Rfam's summary of the family: Transfer RNA (tRNA) molecules are approximately 80 nucleotides in length. Their secondary structure includes four short double-helical elements and three loops (D, anti-codon, and T loops). RNAcentral also lists the same sequence under 2 other names. The record is from RNAcentral. Lineage: Bacteria; Pseudomonadati; Pseudomonadota.
GGGGAUGUAGCUCAGUUGGGAGAGCGGUGCGUUCGCAACGCACAGGUCGUGGGUUCGAAUCCCAUCAUCUCCACCA